GACGAACGCUGGCGGCGUGCUUAACACAUGCAAGUCGAACGGAAAGGCCCUGCUUGCAGGGUACUCGAGUGGCGAACGGGUGGGUAACACGUGGGUGAUCUGCCCUGCACUUCGGGAUAAGCCUGGGAGACUGGGUCUAAUACCGGAUAGGGGCCAUUUUUAACGUGAUGGUUGGAAAGUUUUUUCGGGUUAGGAUGAGCUCGCGGCCUAUCAGCUUGUUGGUGGGGUAAUGGCCUACCAAGGCGGCGUCGGGUAGCCGGCCUGAGAGGGUGGACGGCCACAUUGGGACUGAGAUACGGCCCAGACUCGUACGGGAGGCAGAAGUGGGGAAUCUUGCACAAUGGGCGCAAGCCUGAUGCAGCGACGCCGCGGGGGGUAUGACGGUCUUCGGGUUGUAAACCCCUUGCGCUAGGGACGAAGCUUUUUGUGACGGUACCUAGAUAAGAAGCACCGGCUAACUACGUG
Molecule: ribosomal RNA, 465 nt
Filed under: uncultured bacterium
Lineage: Bacteria
Description: partial 16S ribosomal RNA
Rfam family: Bacterial small subunit ribosomal RNA
Source: RNAcentral